AUUUAGGUUAAAAAAAAAAAAAAAGUAAAUAACAGACUGAUCUAAAACGCACCUAAGCUACCCGGAUACGGAACAAGAUGUGAAAAAAGUGAAGAGCUGGUUGGUCCGCAGCUGAAAGCCACGCCCCCGGCCGACAGCGGACUUCCGAAGUAAGGAGAAACGCUGACACUUCGUGGCCUGAAGAGCAGAGCUCAUGGAGGGGUGUUGUCUGAGUCUGUUCGUGUGUCAGUUACAGGUGAAAAAGAAGGUCUAUCACAGUGGAGGGUGCGCCAGCCACGUUAGCUGAAAAUCAGGACUUACUGGAAUUUUAAAAUAAGACCCUGAUGUCUCUCAUUGCUUUGUCCAUUAUGUGAUGCAGAAUGAAAAUCUUUAUGUCUGGAUUUCUGAGGGAGACACUGUGAAGAGUGUCGUGGAUAGUUUGUCUAAUUGUUUAUUAAAUAUGCACCAAUUCUGUGACUCAUCCUUAUUUUAUGAAACUAUCAAGAGAAAUAAAAGCCAAUGAAUAUAAUGAUAUUUGUCGGUGCUUAUUGGAAGAGUUUAAAAAGAUCUGCUCUUCCUUUAUCUCCAAUUCAAACAUUUCUAGAAAUAAAGGGAAAGUCUGCCAAAUAGUCAGUAAUCAAAGCAACAAACGACAGUGUGAUUUGUGUCUUCUCCCCCACGUCCCACUGCAGGAUCAUGACCUCACAGAAUGCACAUUUCCAUCGUCUGUCAUCACCAUCCUUUUGAUACUCGGAUUGUCCUGUGUGUAGCCAGUGGGACCCACCCCCUCACCCCCAAGGAUGGCUUCCUGUCCUGCCCGCACAGCCCCUAUUGUCUUCAAGAGCAUCCUCACAAAGGUAGAAUUUCGUUCAGUGUCAGAAGGAAAUGAGAGAGGGCUUUCCAGACUCCUGCAAGCACAACCCCAGAGCCUGUCCCACACCAUUCGGGUCCAGCUCUGCCUGCAGGAGCAGAGAAGGCUGAGAAGGAGGCUGGCUCCCAGCACCGGCUAAGUCUGUGUCAGAGAUGGAGCUACUCAGUCUGUUGACUUGGCUUCCCCCAACCUGGUUUUCAGCACACAUGGAACCAAAUGAUCAUGCAGGAGAAGCAGAGACAAGGACCCAGAGAGUCCUGAGCCCUCUGACUGUCCUCCAAGGACAGAAAUCCACACAGACUCUGCCUCUGUCCUCCACGAGAGCGGACAGUGCUCACAGGAUUGACGGGUGGCACAAGGUCACAGUCCUACCUCCGCCAUGAAGCUCCAGUGGAAAUAUAAUGACCUUCCUGGUGUCACUAUGAGGUUGCAGUGCUGUGUACCGAGAUGUGCUUUCACAGAUGACCAAGGUCAGAUGUGACUCAUAGACAUCCUAACAGAAAAUAAAUCUGAUUCAAUGAAACGAUUGCUAUUUGAAUUCUCAAAGGCAUUUCUUUUCUUCUUUCACACUAUUUAUU
Molecule: long non-coding RNA, 1428 nt
Organism: Camelus dromedarius (Arabian camel)
Lineage: Eukaryota; Metazoa; Chordata; Mammalia; Artiodactyla; Camelidae
Exons: 3
Source: RefSeq, a predicted model, not a curated record